Molecule: ribosomal RNA, 256 nt
Filed under: uncultured Gardnerella sp.
Lineage: Bacteria; Bacillati; Actinomycetota; Actinomycetes; Bifidobacteriales; Bifidobacteriaceae
Description: partial 16S ribosomal RNA
Rfam family: Bacterial small subunit ribosomal RNA
Source: RNAcentral
CGAACGGGUGAGUAAUGCGUGACCAACCUGCCCCAUGCUCCAGAAUAGCUCUUGGAAACGGGUGGUAAUGCUGGAUGCUCCAACUUGACGCAUGUCUUGUUGGGAAAGUGUUUAGUGGCAUGGGAUGGGGUCGCGUCCUAUCAGCUUGUAGGCGGGGUAAUGGCCCACCUAGGCGUCGACGGGUAGCCGGCCUGAGAGGGCGGACGGCCACAUUGGGACUGAGAUACGGCCCAGACUCCUACGGGAGGCAGCAGGC